This 303-nucleotide ribosomal RNA is filed under the name uncultured bacterium. RNAcentral's name for it is "partial 16S ribosomal RNA". It matches the Rfam family "Bacterial small subunit ribosomal RNA", at positions 507 to 808 of the family's 1533-position model. The record is from RNAcentral.
AGCAGUCGCCGCGGGAAUACGUAGGUCCCGAGCGUUGUCCGGAUUUAUUGGGCGUAAAGCGAGCGCAGGCGGUUAGAUAAGUCUGAAGUUAAAGGCUGUGGCUUAACCAUAGUACGCUUUGGAAACUGUUUAACUUGAGUGCAAGAGGGGAGAGUGGAAUUCCAUGUGUAGCGGUGAGAUGCGUAGAUAUAUGGAGGAACACCGGUGGCGAAAGCGGCUCUCUGGCUUGUAACUGACGCUGAGGCUCGAAAGCGUGGGGCGCAAACAGGAUUAGAUACCCCAGUAGUCCCUGUCUCUUAUACA